ACUCCUACGGGAGGCAGCAGUAGGAAUUUUUCGCAAUGGACGCAAGUCUGACGAAGCAAUGCGCGUGGAGGAUGUAGUUUCGGAUUGUAAACCUCUGUUAUAAGGGAAGAAAACCUGAUAUAGGAAAUGAUAUCAGCUUGACGGUACCUUAUCAGAAAGGGACGGCUAACUACGUGCCAGCAGCCGCGGUAAUACGUAGGUCCCGAGCGUUAUCCGGAAUUAUUGGGCGUAAAGAGCAUGUAGGCGGUUUAUUAAGUCUGGUGUGAAAGCUAGUGGCUCAACCACUAAAUUGCAUUGGAUACUGGUAAACUAGAAUACUGGAGGGGCAAGUGGAAUUCCAUGUGUAGCGGUGGAAUGCGUAGAUAUAUGGAGGAACACCAAUGGCGAAGGCAGCUUGCUGGACAGUAAUUGACGCUGAGAUGCGAAAGNGGUGGGUAGCAAACAGGAUUAGAUACCCUGG
RNAcentral lists this ribosomal RNA (460 nucleotides) under uncultured bacterium. RNAcentral's name for it is "bacterial SSU rRNA". It matches the Rfam family "Bacterial small subunit ribosomal RNA", at positions 335 to 790 of the family's 1533-position model. The record is from RNAcentral.